AGGUCAGUGUUGUAUAAAUUAAAGCUGUGUGACCCUAGAAUCUGCCCUUAAAAAAAAAAAAAAGACUCGUGGAUUUUAGAAUACAUUGAGGAUUGUUCAGGUUCCAGCAACAGAUAGAAAUGCUUUAAGUUCACUCUGGGGAAAGCUGGCCUCUGAAAUCCUAAUGCAGAAUUGGGAUGCAGCCAUGGAAGACCUUACACGGUUAAAAGAGACCAUAGAUAAUAAUUCUGUGAGUUCUCCACUUCAGUCUCUUCAGCAGAGAACAUGGCUCAUUCACUGGUCUCUGUUUGUUUUCUUCAAUCACCCCAAAGGUCGCGAUAAUAUUAUUGACCUCUUCCUUUAUCAGCCACAAUAUCUUAAUGCAAUUCAGACAAUGUGUCCACACAUUCUUCGCUAUUUGACUACAGCAGUCAUAACAAACAAGGAUGUUCGAAAACGUCGGCAGGUUCUAAAAGAUCUAGUUAAAGUUAUUCAACAGGAGUCUUACACAUAUAAAGACCCAAUUACAGAAUUUGUUGAAUGUUUAUAUGUUAACUUUGACUUUGAUGGGGCUCAGAAAAAGCUGAGGGAAUGUGAAUCAGUGCUUGUGAAUGACUUCUUCUUGGUGGCUUGUCUGGAGGAUUUCAUUGAAAAUGCCCGUCUCUUCAUAUUUGAGACUUUCUGUCGCAUCCACCAGUGUAUCAGCAUUAACAUGUUGGCAGAUAAAUUGAACAUGACUCCAGAA
Molecule: small RNA, 724 nt
Filed under: Pongo abelii (Sumatran orangutan)
Lineage: Eukaryota; Metazoa; Chordata; Mammalia; Primates; Hominidae
Description: processed transcript
Source: RNAcentral